This 253-nucleotide ribosomal RNA is filed under the name uncultured bacterium. RNAcentral's name for it is "partial 16S ribosomal RNA". It matches the Rfam family "Bacterial small subunit ribosomal RNA", at positions 524 to 776 of the family's 1533-position model. The record is from RNAcentral.
UACGGAGGGGGCUAGCGUUGUUCGGAAUUACUGGGCGUAAAGCGCGUGUAGGCGGACCUGCAAGUCGGGGGUGAAAGCCCGAGGCUCAACCUCGGAACUGCCUUCGAUACUGCGGGUCUCGAGUCCGGGAGAGGUGAGUGGAAUUCCUAGUGUAGAGGUGAAAUUCGUAGAUAUUAGGAAGAACACCAGUGGCGAAGGCGGCUCACUGGCCCGGUACUGACGCUGAGGCGCGAAAGCGUGGGGAGCAAACAGG